AGAGUUUGAUCCUGGCUCAGGACGAACGCUGGCGGCGUGCUUAACACAUGCAAGUCGAGCGAGAAAGCCCCUUCGGGGGUGAGUACAGCGGCGAACGGGUGAGUAACACGUGGGCAACCUGCCCCAGAGACUGGGAUAACGUCCCGAAAGGGACGCUAAUACCGGAUGAUGCGCGACCUGCCAAGUGGGUCGCGCCAAAUGGUAGCUUCGGCUUCUGCUCUGGGAUGGGCCCGCGCCGGAUUAGCUUGUUGGUGAGGUAACGGCUCACCAAGGCGACGAUCCGUAGCUGGUCUGAGAGGACGAUCAGCCACACUGGGACUGAGACACGGCCCAGACUCCUACGGGAGGCAGCAGUGGGGAAUCUUGCGCAAUGGGCGAAAGCCUGACGCAGCAACGCCGCGUGCGGGAAGAAGGCCUUCGGGUUGUAAACCGCUGUCAGGAGGGACGAAGCCACUCAGGUGAAUAGCCGAGAGGGUGACGGUACCUCCAGAGGAAGCCCCGGCUAACUACGUGCCAGCAGCCGCGGUAAUACGUAGGGGGCUAGCGUUGUCCGGAAUCAUUGGGCGUAAAGCGCGCACAGGCGGUUUCUUAAGUCUGAUGUGAAAGCCCACGGCUCAACCGUGGAGGGUCAUUGGAAACUGGGGAACUUGAGUGCAGAAGAGAAAAGCGGAAUUCCACGUGUAGCGGUGAAAUGCGUAGAGAUGUGGAGGAACACCAGUGGCGAAGGCGGCUUUUUGGUCUGUAACUGACGCUGAGGCGCGAAAGCGUGGGGAGCAAACAGGAUUAGAUACCGUGGUAGU
This 800-nucleotide ribosomal RNA is filed under the name uncultured bacterium. RNAcentral's name for it is "bacterial SSU rRNA". It matches the Rfam family "Bacterial small subunit ribosomal RNA", at positions 8 to 794 of the family's 1533-position model. The record is from RNAcentral.